GACUCGGUAGCUCAAUGGCAGAGCAACUGACUUUUAAUCAGUGGGUUGUGGGUUCGAGUCCCACCCGGGUCACCA
RNAcentral lists this transfer RNA (75 nucleotides) under soil metagenome. It matches the Rfam family "tRNA". From Rfam's summary of the family: Transfer RNA (tRNA) molecules are approximately 80 nucleotides in length. The record is from RNAcentral. RNAcentral also lists the same sequence under 1 other name.